UACGUAGGGGGCAAGCGUUGUCCGGAUUUAUUGGGCGUAAAGAGCGUGUAGGCGGCCAGGGAGGUCCGUUGUGAAAACUCGAGGCUCAACCUCGAGACGCCGAUGGAAACCCCCUGGCUAGAGUCCGGAAGAGGAGAAUGGAAUUCCUGGUGUAGCGGUGAAAUGCGCAGAUAUCAGGAAGAACACCCGUGGCUAAGGCGGUUCUCUAGUACGGUACUGACGCUGAGACGCGAAAGCGUGGGGAGCAAACAGG
This 253-nucleotide ribosomal RNA is filed under the name uncultured bacterium. Its description in RNAcentral is "partial 16S ribosomal RNA". It matches the Rfam family "Bacterial small subunit ribosomal RNA", at positions 524 to 776 of the family's 1533-position model. The record is from RNAcentral.